Molecule: ribosomal RNA, 539 nt
Filed under: uncultured bacterium
Lineage: Bacteria
Description: bacterial SSU rRNA
Rfam family: Bacterial small subunit ribosomal RNA
Source: RNAcentral
AAUAGAUACCCAGGUAGUCCAUGCCGUAAACGUUGGGAACUAGAUGUGGGGACCAUUCCACGGUCUCCGUGUCGCAGCUAACGCAUUAAGUUCCCCGCCUGGGGAGUACGGCCGCAAGGCUAAAACUCAAAGGAAUUGACGGGGGCCCGCACAAGCGGCGGAGCAUGCGGAUUAAUUCGAUGCAACGCGAAGAACCUUACCAAGGCUUGACAUAUACCGGAAACGUCUGGAAACAGUCGCCCGCAAGGUCGGUAUACAGGUGGUGCAUGGUUGUCGUCAGCUCGUGUCGUGAGAUGUUGGGUUAAGUCCCGCAACGAGCGCAACCCUCGUUCUAUGUUGCCAGCACGUGAUGGUGGGGACUCAUAGGAGACUGCCGGGGUCAACUCGGAGGAAGGUGGGGAUGAGGUCAAAUCAUCAUGCCCCUUAUGUCUUGGGCUUCACGCAUGCUACAAUGGCCGGUACAAAGGGCAGCAAUACCGUGAGUGGAGCGAAUCCCAAAAAGCCGGUCUCAGUUCGGAUUGAGGUCUGCAACUCGACCC